Molecule: ribosomal RNA, 439 nt
Filed under: uncultured bacterium
Lineage: Bacteria
Description: bacterial SSU rRNA
Rfam family: Bacterial small subunit ribosomal RNA
Source: RNAcentral
AACGCGAAGAACCUUACCCAGGCUCGAAAUGUAGAGGGCGAUAUCAGAGAUGAUAUUUUCCGCAAGGACUUCUAUAUAGGUGCUGCAUGGCUGUCGUCAGCUCGUGCCGUGAGGUGUUGGGUUAAGUCCCGCAACGAGCGCAACCCUUAUCAUUAGUUGCCACCCCUUAACUGGGAGCACUCUGGACAGACUGCCUCGCUUAAACGAGGAGGAAGGUGGGGAUGACGUCAAGUCAGUAUGGCCCUUACGGCCAGGGCUGCACACGUACUACAAUGCCCGGCACAAAGGGAAGCAAGACUGCAAAGUGGAGCAAAUCCCCCAAAACGGGCCCAGUCAGAUUGUCGUCUGCAACUCGACGGCAUGAAGCUGGAAUCGCUAGUAAUGGCGCAUCAGCUACGGCGCCGUGAAUACGUUCCCGGGCCUUGUACACACCGGAGUA